This 192-nucleotide non-coding RNA is filed under the name Phenylobacterium sp. Lineage: Bacteria; Pseudomonadati; Pseudomonadota; Alphaproteobacteria; Caulobacterales; Caulobacteraceae. The record is from RNAcentral.
AGCUCGGCGCCUGCGUCAGGUUCCCCGCAAGGGGAGAAUAGGGAACGGGGUCCGAAGCCCCGGCUGCCCUCGCAACUGUAGGCGGCGAGCCCGCGCGUCGAACGCCACUGGGAUCCUCAGGGAGUCUGGGAAGGCGACGCGCACCGGCCUUGACCCGUGAGCCAGGAGACCUGCCCGACGCAGUCGUCCUUC